GUAAAGCGUGCGCAGGCGGUUUGUAAGACUGUCGUGAAAUCCCCGGGCUCAACCUGGGAAUGGCGAUGGUGACUGCAAGGCUAGAGUUUGGCAGAGGGGGGUAGAAUUCCACGUGUAGCAGUGAAAUGCGUAGAUAUGUGGAGGAACACCGAUGGCGAAGGCAGCCCCCUGGGUCAAAACUGACGCUCAUGCACGAAAGCGUGGGGAGCAAACAGGAUUAGAUACCCAGU
RNAcentral lists this ribosomal RNA (230 nucleotides) under uncultured bacterium. RNAcentral describes it as "partial 16S ribosomal RNA". It matches the Rfam family "Bacterial small subunit ribosomal RNA", at positions 560 to 790 of the family's 1533-position model. The record is from RNAcentral.